RNAcentral lists this ribosomal RNA (256 nucleotides) under uncultured archaeon. RNAcentral's name for it is "partial 16S ribosomal RNA". It matches the Rfam family "Bacterial small subunit ribosomal RNA", at positions 521 to 776 of the family's 1533-position model. The record is from RNAcentral.
UAAUACGUAGGUGGCAAGCGUUGUCCGGAUUUAUUGGGCGUAAAGGGAGCGCAGGCGGUGAUUUAAGUCUGAUGUGAAAGCCCACGGCUCAACCGUGGAAGGUCAUUGGAAACUGGAUCACUUGAAUAUAGAAGAGGAAAGUGGAAUUCCAUGUGUAGCGGUGAAAUGCGUAGAUAUAUGGAGGAACACCAGUGGCGAAGGCGACUUUCUGGUCUAUUAUUGACGCUGAGGCUCGAAAGCAUGGGUAGCAAACAGG